Oreochromis niloticus (Nile tilapia) is the source of this 1303-nucleotide long non-coding RNA. RefSeq lists it as uncharacterized. The record is from RefSeq and is a predicted model, not a curated record. Lineage: Eukaryota; Metazoa; Chordata; Actinopteri; Cichliformes; Cichlidae. The transcript is spliced from 3 exons.
CUGACCCCACUUCCGCCAGUCCCUUUAUGGUGGCGGGAAUGAACUCUGUAUAAGUUCCGGGUCAAUCAGCUGCAUGUUCCCUGCUCCUCUGGCUGCUGUUGUUCCUGUGGUUGGCGUACUUGUCAGAUAUCGACAAAUUAUACACUACAGACCAGUUGACAGCGUGCAAUAACCCGGCCGAUUCAUUCAUCUUUACACCGUCUCACAAUCGACUCAACGGUGAGUUAUUUGUUUAUUUUGUUUUGUCACAAUGAAUGAAAAUACGGAGCCGCGGUCGCGCAUUCUAAAACGCCGGUAAGCUAAUGCUAGGCUAGUGACUGAAAGUGCAAUUCUAGUUUUAUUUAUCGAAUAUUGUUUUUGUUUAUUCCACUAUGGCCGAAUGUUGAAUUAACGUAUCAAGAGUAGAAUGAGUGAUUUGAUUUUUGUAGUUUUGUCCGUUUUGGAUGUUUUUUGUUACUUUUCUGAUUAAAUGCCAAAACGGCCUAUGAGACUUUUGUAUUGAGUUAAACCUCCUUUAGAUUAUUGAACUUGUUGCGCAACACCUUGAAUUGAAUUUUGUUUUCUAAAUAUUUGAUUAGCUUUGGAUAAUGUUUAUUAGCUUUAUUGCUAAUAUACUUUGAUGGGACCCACGAGAAUGUUUUUCUAUAAUAGUAUUUUGAAUGAAAUUCAUUAUAAUAGAUGAUGUUAUGAUUUGUUUGGUUUUUGGUUUAUUGAUUGUUGUAUGAAACAUGGCAUUAAUUACUUGACUUUGUUAUUUAUGGAUUUAUUUAUUUAUUUUGUCAUAGCAGUAGAAUGCUGUUUCAUUUUCUUCUGUGAAUGAUAAUUUAUGUUUUUGACCUUGUUUAAGUCAGGUUUUUUUCCCCCCGCGAUCAGCCCUGAUCAGCGCGGGAUGGCGAGCCACCCGACCACCGCUGCAUUGCGGACCAACAUGGACAUCAGUUUAGACUGAAAUCCAGUUCCGACAGCACACGCAACAUGUUCAAGCUUGCACGGAGACUCAGUGAAACCUGAGGAGCCUGAUCCAUUUCCAAAGGUCUCUUCGCUGCCCUUGACUAGAGAUCAGCUGUCAGCAGCUCAAUUAGCUGAUGAAACACUGCAGAGCUGUUUCAAACAUACGGUAAGUGCUGAGCAAGUCAAUAAAGAGCAACAAGCCUAUUUUGUAGAACAUGAUGUUCUAAUGCGUCAGUGGUCUCCACCAGGUGCAGAAGGUGCAGAAUGGAGUAAAGUUAAGCAGAUUGUCAUGCCCUCUGUGUACCGGCAGAAUAUCCUGACUCUUGCCCAUGAAAGCCAGUGGUCGGGACAC